UGGGGUAUAGCCAAGUGGCAAGGCACUGGUUUUUGAUACCGGCAUUCAAAGGUUCGAAUCCUUUUACCCCAA
Molecule: transfer RNA, 72 nt
Filed under: Cymbomonas tetramitiformis
Lineage: Eukaryota; Viridiplantae; Chlorophyta; Pyramimonadophyceae; Pyramimonadales; Pyramimonadaceae
Description: tRNA-Gln
Rfam family: tRNA
About the family: Transfer RNA (tRNA) molecules are approximately 80 nucleotides in length. Their secondary structure includes four short double-helical elements and three loops (D, anti-codon, and T loops).
Source: RNAcentral